This 572-nucleotide long non-coding RNA is filed under the name Nicotiana benthamiana. RNAcentral's name for it is "long non-coding RNA (NBEN_LNC038847)". Lineage: Eukaryota; Viridiplantae; Streptophyta; Magnoliopsida; Solanales; Solanaceae. The record is from RNAcentral.
UGUCGUACGAAUUCCACCCAUUCUGGAUCCUUAUCCGGUUGAUUCAUAUAGUGGGAUAGUAGCUGCAGCUCAGAUGGGAGAAUACCAAAGAGGGAAUGAAGUAAAAUAGCAUCAAACAAGUUAGCAUAGAUCCUAUAUCCAAAAGUAACCAAGCAAUAAAGACAUAUGAACCAUUUCAGAAUAGAAAGAGCCCGCUGUAACUUGGGCCUUGUUAUAUAGUAGAAAAAUAGUUUCACUUCUAAAUCCAAAGGGAGAUAGAACCUCAUAAGAAUGAGGAAAAGGCAUAACCAGAAGAAAUAAGUGAAUUUAUCCAGUUGAGGCAUUCUUGAUUGAUUGAGACAAAACGAUUCCCUCAAUACAGCUUAACUCCGUCAAGCCUGUACGAGUAGUGAAGAAGUAUAGAGCACUUUGGUUGUUUGUUGACCAACGGAAAGCAUGGGAGAAAAAAAGAUGCACAAACGAAAAAGGGCCAAAAAAAAGGACGAAGUCAUUUCAUAUAUAAAAAGAGUGGUACACUGAACACGAACCCAAUAUCAAAGAACUAAAGAGGAAGCUAGUCGAUCAUUCAACAG